Molecule: long non-coding RNA, 211 nt
Filed under: Vigna radiata
Lineage: Eukaryota; Viridiplantae; Streptophyta; Magnoliopsida; Fabales; Fabaceae
Description: long non-coding RNA (VRAD_LNC004078)
Source: RNAcentral
UUCAACUUUUAAAUCUUUUUUACAAAAAAUACCAACUCGUGUAUAAACAUGAGUUUAAAACUAGUAAAAAAAAAUAUUAUGAUUAUUAUAACAAAGGAGCCAUUGUCUAUUAGAAGUGUUACGGUGUAAAUUUACUGGGACCGAAGUACUAACCUUGAGGACGUCUUCUUCUGUGCUUCUGCCCGCUUUUCGUGAUUUCUGACCGUACGUC